GACGAACGCUGGCGGCGUGCUUAACACAUGCAAGUCGAACGGAAGGGCCCUGCUUUUGUGGGGUGCUCGAGUGGCGAACGGGUGAGUAACACGUGAGUAACCUGCCCUUGACUUUGGGAUAACUUCAGGAAACUGGGGCUAAUACCGGAUAGGAGCUCCUGCUGCAUGGUGGGGGUUGGAAAGUUUCGGCGGUUGGGGAUGGACUCGCGGCUUAUCAGCUUGUUGGUGGGGUAGUGGCUUACCAAGGCUUUGACGGGUAGCCGGCCUGAGAGGGUGACCGGCCACAUUGGGACUGAGAUACGGCCCAGACUCCUACGGGAGGCAGCAGUGGGGAAUAUUGAACAAUGGGCGGAAGCCUGAUGCAGCAACGCCGCGUGCGGGAUGACGGCCUUCGGGUUGUAAACCGCUUUCGCCUGUGACGAAGCGUGAGUGACGGUAAUGGGUAAAGAAGCACCGGCUAACUACGUG
Molecule: ribosomal RNA, 468 nt
Filed under: uncultured bacterium
Lineage: Bacteria
Description: partial 16S ribosomal RNA
Rfam family: Bacterial small subunit ribosomal RNA
Source: RNAcentral